Molecule: long non-coding RNA, 4565 nt
Organism: Felis catus (domestic cat)
Lineage: Eukaryota; Metazoa; Chordata; Mammalia; Carnivora; Felidae
Exons: 4
Source: RefSeq, a predicted model, not a curated record
AAUAAUUAAAUAAAAAAAAAAGUCAGACACUUAACCGACUAAGCCACCCAGAUGCCCCAUGACUCAACAUAUUUAAUCAACCAUAAUUUUUUGUUUUUGUUUUGAUACUCAAUUUGUGGUAACCUGGCCAACGGCUCCACCCUUAACCUGGUUUCUGUGUUUUCUCCAGAAUUUCUAAAGCAUCAUUGCUUUCUGGCAAUAAAUGUUCCACACCAGGCUAGAACAUUACCCCAAGAAUGGAAUCAGCUUCUCCCCAAAGAUUCCUGCUUUCUCUCAGCAGAGGAUAAAUAGUUCAGGUUUUUCUGUUAUGAUAUGAAAUUUGUGUAUCUGAAAAACCUCACAUUCUGUAGAGUCACAUUAAAAACCAUGGGACUUUGAGACAUCAAACUGGGGAGACCACUCAAAAGUCAGGCAACCUUGUAACCAGAGUGCUAAGGAAAACAGUCACUGGUACCUGACAGUCACCUUGGAUGUCCCAGGCAGGCAGGGAGGCACAGCUAGAGGCUAACAAUGGUGGUUGUGAAAAAUUCACAGGGCCUCUUGAGUGGAAAUGCUGGCCACAGUUUAGUUAGAGCUGGGGGGUGCUGGGACAAUGCCGGCUGAACGAAAUCUGAGCCAGGGGCUUCCUAGGCACAGCAGCCAAGAGUGACUCAAGACUGGGAUGUACCAAUCUGGGCAUCCCCGGGGAGCCCGGUGCACGUGCUCAUUUUUAAUUUUCGUAAAACACAACUAAAGAAAUCCUGCUUUGCUUAGUUUGUGGGGUUUUUUUUUCUUUCCUGCUGAAGGUUCUAAUUCUACUCUUGCUCUGCCAGCUUCCCUUGCACAGAAAAAAAUCUGGUAUGAUCAAACUUGAGUUCUAGGUUAGACGGACAUCAUUUUUAAUCGCACGUGAACUAAUUCACAUGGUAGAAACCUGCUUCGUGAAGCCAUCGACUCUUCCCUCGGUGCACAUGCAGGGCACAUCGAGGGGUGGGGGCUGUCCUUCCCCCUCCUCAAAUCAGAGCUUAUUUGUGACUGCUUUAACCAAUGGAGACAGUGUAAGUGCACUGAAGGACUUCGGAGACUGUCAUAAGGAGUUUUACAGUUUCCGCCGCCCGUGUUUGGGAAGCUUGCUCUGGAUGAAGCCAGCUCCCUCAGAGGAAGUCCAAUCACCUUAAGACCACUGUAGCCUAAGAAAGCCCAAGCUAGCCAUGUGGAGAAGCCACAUGGAGAGACAGAUGCCCAACCAGCUCCCAAAUGUUCCAGACCUCCUAGCCUGGAUGCCAGACAUUAUGAAUAAAGCCAGUGACUUCAGCAACAGCCACGACCUGAUUGCAACCCUAUAAGAUCCACAGCACAAACAACUCAGCUGAACUCACCACCCUCCAGAACUGAGAGAGAUGAUAGUAAAAUGCUGUUUUAUGCCACUACGUCUUAAAGUGGUUUGUUUGCAUGCUGUUAUCUGAACAUAGAGGAAUACAUUGUACUGGCGUGUAAAAAUUAGGCAUGGGAAUGCAGACUAGAUUAUUUCUAUGGAGUGUGAGGCAGGAACUGGUGUCGGUCCCCUCAACCCGAACCACAAAAUCUAGCAUUCCUGGAGAGCUGAAACCCUAUGCCCCAUGAGUAGCAUUUCUUGCAGAAAUGCGGAAGCAGGGUGCUUGCCUCAAGGAGGGACUCAACUACAAGACUGAAGACCUGGCCAAACCUGUCUGCGCCAAGAUGGACCCCAGCGCUGACCUUUCACUGACUUUCUCCCUCAUCGUGAUACGAAAAAUGAUGCCCAGAAGUGGAGAUUUCACAUGCCACAACACGCGUGCAUGUUCUGGGCACUGCGCCUGCUCACCCAACUUCCUGUAUCUCUCCCUGCCCCAAAGGUCUUAGCGGUCACUCCUUUCCCCGCCUCUGCCCCUUUAAAAGCUUUUCCCCCAUUUCUAUGGGGAGUUAGCCCGAAGGACCCUUAGCUUUCUGUACUGCCUCCCUUGUGCUGGAGCAUAACCCCCUGUGAAAAGACUUACCAGGAACUCCCAUUUGGCCUCUAGUCAAUUUCUGUUGUUUAGUGAGUCCAAGGCCCAAGAGGGUAACAAGCAUAGCUUUGGGGUAACUCCAGGCGGGCUAUUUAGGGGCAGAGCUAGAAGUGAUCUCCUUUGUGUACAAGAGUUCACAUUAAUUCUCUGGCUUUCUUUUAGAUUUUCUCUAUGACAUACCUCCUGAAAUUCCACACUUUGAUUUUCUUUCGUAAAUUUGCCCCCCCACAGAAUUAUUUAUAACUCAAAAUCAAAUAAUAUACGACACAACUUGUUUAUCCAUUCAACAGUCAGGGACACUUGGGCUGCCUCCAGAAUUUGGCUAUUGUAGCUAACGCUGCUGUAAACAUCAAGAUACACAUAUCCCCUUGAAUUGGAGUUUGAGAGACAGCACAUUCCUCAGUGGGGGAGGGGCAGAGGGCAUCCCAAGCAGAUUCCAUGCUCAGCCCUGAACUAACUCAGGGCUCCACGCCACCACCGUGAGAUCAUGACCUGAGCAGCACUCAAGAGUCGGAGCUUAACCGACUGAGCCACCCGGGCGCCAUAUCUCGUUCUGCUUUGAACCACCUUGUUUUUCUGACAGAGUUGUGUCUAGGAAGAAGCCCCUGGAUAGUCUCCUUUGGGAGCUUAUCCCUUCCUUAAAACACCAUGCUUUCUUGAGUCAUCGGACUGUCCUCCCAACUACUAAGACAAAAGCCGGCUGAGGAAGCUUGAUUGCGAAAUAGCAGCUUAAAUUCAGGCCCCAGUAUUGUGCUUAAAAUGAAGGUCUCACUUUUUGCCAUCUAUUUUUAUGGGAUUCGUAGGCUAUUGUACUGCAUAGUCCAGGCCCUUAAAGCUGGCCUACUUGAUAUGGGUCAGAACAACACGACUGACCACAUGAAAAGAGAGGGCCCUCUGACUUUUUCUGCAGUUCGUCAAAGGCAACAGGAUGUUCACUGGGAGGUGCACGGGGUACAGCUUGGAGACUCUGGACUAUCAGAGCAACUCCUUCUUCCUUCCCGUCUCUGACAAUGCUCUGUGCUCUACCCAGAAGGGCUGGAGACGGCAAUGAAGCUCACUGGGGUUCUACUCAUACCUCGUGGGGCUGCAUAAAGAUCCCCUGCUUUAGAGAAAAAAGAACCCGCCUCCGAUUCCAGGCCGAGAACCAGAAUGUCAGUCCUGAAGCAACCUGUGCCUUGUAGCAUCUGGACCAUCGGCUCAUUGAGGAAGUAUCAUGUUUGAUACAUAACUCCCACCCCCCCCGACAUUCCAAGAUCAAAUAUUGAAUGGAACUUUAAAGAUGACAUAGGUAACUGAACGGCCUCUGGGGAAGCAUUGUUCCAAUUCGGAGCAGUUUCAAGCAGUUUCCGGGUGAAUAAUGAGAUCAGAGCUGUAAGAGCCCACCAGGUUCUCCAGCCUGAUUCUGUCGAGGAAACUGAAGAGCAGAUAAGUAAAUUUAUGUGCCCAAGGUCACUUAGCUAGUUCGCGUUUCCAACCGGAACUCACUUCGAACAUCCCGCAUCCAUGCGGACAGUCCUCACCUUCGGUCUGCCGUUCCUGCUGGGUAUGGAAGCCCUGCUCCCCAAGAGAUUUAGAACAUUCUUCCCAGGAUGGCACAGCAUCUCCAGAUACUCCCGCCCCAGAAAACCAUCCGCCUGCUGCAGCAAAUGCCUGCCUGUGUCCUCAGGGCUACACUCCCUGGGACAGGGGUGCUCCCCUGCAGUAACGCUGGAGCUGUUCCUGCCACAGCAGCCCUGACCCAGCUGGCAGAGGCCCAUCUGCUCCGAGACCGGCCUCCCUGCCUCCUUCCAGCACCACAUGGCGGCUGGACAGUGAGGGCCUCGCUCCCCUCCCGUGGAAAGACCGAGCACAGCAGAAGACCUUGAACCGACAAGAAAUGUUCCAUCCCUGUUUACCGAGGGCGACUAUCUGCCGGCCGGCAAGCCACCGUGAUUUUCAUCAGGACGGCCGGAUUUAGGAAAUACAAAUACAGGACGCCCGGUUGCGUUUGCCUUUCAGGAAGGCCGUUGUUGUUCCCUUCUUAAGCAGAACCUUAGGAAAGUGCACGUAAGUAUACUGCAGUACAUUUUCACAAAGUGAGUAAUGGCCAUGUGGCCAGCACCCAGAUUGAGAAACAUAAUCAGCACAUAAUCAGCACAUAAUUAGCAUUCCAGAUGCCCGUUUCUUGUCUACUUCCAGCCGUUUAUCCCCUUCCCAAGGGUAACUGCUAUCCUGAAUUCUGAGACCAUUACAGUAAAACCUUGGAUCAUGAGUAACUCGUUCUGAGUGUUCUGCAAGACGAGCAAAGAUUUCUCAUAAAUUUUAACUUGAUAAAUGAGCAAUGUCUUGCAAUAUGAAUAGUACAUGAUGCCGAAUGUCACAUGACCACAACCGAGCCAAUGAUUCUUCUCCGUCUCUCGCUCUCCCUCUCUCUUUCUGCGGGAUUGUGCGUGAUUGUCUCCCAUGUUCAGAUGCUUGGCCUCAGGCUGCAGUGUUUGGCAGAAAUCAGUGACAUUUCAGAAUGUUGGAAGGUGACCACAACUGGCACUAGGGUAUUUUUUGUCACUUCAAAGCACCUAUGGA